ACGUAGGGUGCGAGCGUUAAUCGGAAUUACUGGGCGUAAAGCGUGCGCAGGCGGUUGUGCAAGACAGAUGUGAAAUCCCCGGGCUUAACCUGGGAAUGGCAUUUGUGACUGCACGGCUAGAGUGUGUCAGAGGGGGGUAGAAUUCCACGUGUAGCAGUGAAAUGCGUAGAGAUGUGGAGGAACACCGAUGGCGAAGGCAGCCCCCUGGGUCAAAACUGACGCUCAUGCACGAAAGCGUGGGGAGCAAACAGGA
This 253-nucleotide ribosomal RNA is filed under the name uncultured prokaryote. RNAcentral describes it as "partial 16S ribosomal RNA". It matches the Rfam family "Bacterial small subunit ribosomal RNA", at positions 525 to 777 of the family's 1533-position model. The record is from RNAcentral.